This 466-nucleotide ribosomal RNA is filed under the name uncultured Streptococcus sp. RNAcentral describes it as "bacterial SSU rRNA". It matches the Rfam family "Bacterial small subunit ribosomal RNA", at positions 916 to 1381 of the family's 1533-position model. The record is from RNAcentral. Lineage: Bacteria; Bacillati; Bacillota; Bacilli; Lactobacillales; Streptococcaceae.
GACGGGGCCCGCACAAGCGGUGGAGCAUGUGGUUAAUUCGAAGCAACGCGGAGAACCUUACCAGGUCUUGACAUCCGAUGCUAUUUCUAGAGAUAGAAAGUUACUUCGGUACAUCGGUGACAGGUGGUGCAUGGUUGUCGUCAGCUCGUGUCGUGAGAUGUUGGGUUAAGUCCCGCAACGAGCGCAACCCCUAUUGUUAGUUGCCAUCAUUCAGUUGGGCACUCUAGCGAGACUGCCGGUAAUAAACCGGAGGAAGGUGGGGAUGACGUCAAAUCAUCAUGCCCCUUAUGACCUGGGCUACACACGUGCUACAAUGGUUGGUACAACGAGUUGCGAGUCGGUGACGGCGAGCUAAUCUCUUAAAGCCAAUCUCAGUUCGGAUUGUAGGCUGCAACUCGCCUACAUGAAGUCGGAAUCGCUAGUAAUCGCGGAUCAGCACGCCGCGGUGAAUACGUUCCCGGGCCUU